This is a long non-coding RNA of Hypanus sabinus (Atlantic stingray), 592 nucleotides long. RefSeq lists it as uncharacterized. NCBI's taxonomy places the organism in Eukaryota, Metazoa, Chordata, Chondrichthyes, Myliobatiformes, Dasyatidae. The transcript is spliced from 3 exons. The record is from RefSeq and is a predicted model, not a curated record.
GAGAGAGAGAGGAGAGAGAGAGAGAGAGGAGAGAGAGAGAGAGAGAGAGAGAAAAUCCAUUUAAAUCUGUAUUAUAUUAAGUCUGAAGCCCCUGAUCUCAACAGAUUAAGGUAAAUUGGGCAGAGAAUAAAAGAAGGAAGAAGAGAAAGAAAAGUAAAAGUCUAACCACCAACGUGAAAGAAGCCUAACGUCCACUCAAAUUUGAUCUCCGAAACUGGAGGGUACACUUUUUUGUUGACUAUUGUCUGUCAUCAGGAGAACUUACCAAUCUUGACCAUCUUUUGCAAGUAACUGUAAAGUGAACAUGCAUUGGAACUGAAGGAAGAUGCCACAAAUGGAUAAGAGCAGGAAGGGGUAGAUUAAUCUUACAGUAGGUUAAAAGAUCACUUAAAAGGAUCCGCAAGUGAAUUUCAGAACAGUGCUUAUUUUUAAAUUCAUCGGGCUCCUAUCACACAAUAGAGCAUUUCUGGUGGAUCACUCAGAUGAAAUAGAAAUGAGUCACGAUGGAAGCUCAAAGUCAGAGGCGUGGAAAAUGAACCGCAUUAAUUCUGAUCACCUGUGAUGUUUCUUUUUAGCAACCAGAACAUUUCAC